This 853-nucleotide long non-coding RNA is filed under the name Nicotiana benthamiana. RNAcentral describes it as "long non-coding RNA (NBEN_LNC004705)". The record is from RNAcentral. Lineage: Eukaryota; Viridiplantae; Streptophyta; Magnoliopsida; Solanales; Solanaceae.
AACCACAAGUUUACAAGUCGAGGCAACAUGACAAGUACGAUCCAAACCCAAAAAUUCAUUUCAAGAUACACAUCGUGGAAGAGAAAACAUCAUCACUGAAACUUCCAAACAAAUUAGAGAAAAUGUAAAAGACAACAAGGGACAGAAUGCAACUGAAAUGGAUAUCCCAAUUUCUCAAUGAGUGCAGUAAUUACACGAGCAAAAACGAAAUCAUGCUACAAUGGGAACACAAAUCAGACAGAAGCUCGGACGGACCCUCACCUUCAAAUUCAAACGCUGACACCUUUUCAUAUGCUCUGUGUUUUUUUUGGAAUUUUGAGACCAGAAUCAAACAUUUAAUGACCCCUAUAUUCUCUGUUCCCCGUUUGUUCAUAUGGUCUGCGCCUACUGAAGGCUGACGACAAAGAAGCUGGUUCUUGGAGGUGCAACGACUGUCUCUUUGGAGUCGAAGAUGGAGAUGAGGAAGGGAACGACUGGUCACAUGGUUUUGGGUCAGUUGGGUGGUCGUUCAUGGGGGUGUUGUUGGAUAUGGUUGUCGAGAUGUGGUUAUUUACGGGGAAGAAACAAAAGUAGCAAUGGCUAUGGUGGUCCGGCGACAAAAACAGAUGGAGAUAAGGUGGUCUGGCUGGGGACAUUGAUGGAAGCUGUGAGCAGCUGCAGCGGUGGAGUUCCGGCGAGGCUAUGGAGGUGUUAAUACAAUGUUCUCAUGGGUGUCACGUCCGGUACAGGGAACCGAUUGGAGGUCUGAUUUUGAGAAUUGCGGAUGAUUUUUUCAAAGUGUAGUGAUCUAGGUUUUUUUAGGAAUUUUUACAUGUAUAUAUCAAAUAUCAUACUAUAUUAAAUAAUAUGUUUA